Long non-coding RNA from Salvia miltiorrhiza (redroot sage), 449 nucleotides. RefSeq lists it as uncharacterized. NCBI's taxonomy places the organism in Eukaryota, Viridiplantae, Streptophyta, Magnoliopsida, Lamiales, Lamiaceae. The transcript is spliced from 3 exons. The record is from RefSeq and is a predicted model, not a curated record.
UGUCCUUAACUCAAAAAUUUAGUUUUCAAUUAUUUAUUUACUAAAUUUUGAAAACCCGGCUAAGUGAAUCAUAGAAUAUUAAGCACUACACCAUGACUUAAGAUUAGCUUCACGAGACCUAUUAAGAAUAGAAUUUCUUGUAGGCUUUGUGACCAGGGGGAUUAGCGCUGCUUUCCCAAGACAGGUUUAUAUGUGAUUAUGAUCUUCAGGCUUUGCCUAACCAGGCUUUGUGACCAGGGGGAUUAGCGCUGCUUUCCCAAGACAGGUUUAUAUGUGAUUAUGAUCUUCAGGCUUUGCCUAACCAGGUUGGCUGGCUGGUGCUGACGGGACGGAGCUGAGGCUAGCGAUAAAUUCCUAUGUUAGACUUCCGCUGUAGCAAUUACUCAUAUCAGUCUUUUGUUUUUCCAACUUAAGAUCUUCAUGUUAAAUUUCAAAUGAUAUACCUGACC